This 275-nucleotide ribosomal RNA is filed under the name uncultured prokaryote. RNAcentral describes it as "partial 16S ribosomal RNA". It matches the Rfam family "Bacterial small subunit ribosomal RNA", at positions 524 to 798 of the family's 1533-position model. The record is from RNAcentral.
CACGGGGGCUGCGAGCGUUGUCCGGAAUUACUAGGCGUAAAGGGCAGGCAGGCGGAUCCAUAAGUUUAUCGUUUAAGGCGUCGGCUUAACCGGCGUAGGGCGGUAGAUACUGUGGAUCUGGAAUGCGGUUGGGGAAGACAGAAUUCCUGGUGUAGCGGUGGAAUGCGCAGAGAUCAGGAGGAAUACCGAAGGCGAAGGCAGUCUUCCAAGCCGUUAUUGACGCUCAACUGCGAAGGUGUGGGUAUCAAACAGGAUUAGAUACCCUGGUAGUCCCU